RNAcentral lists this ribosomal RNA (109 nucleotides) under Sorex araneus (European shrew). Lineage: Eukaryota; Metazoa; Chordata; Mammalia; Eulipotyphla; Soricidae. The record is from RNAcentral.
UUCUACGUCCAUACCACCCUGAAUGCCUCCGAUCUCAGAAGCUAAGUAGAGUUGGGCCUGGUUAGUACUUAGAUGGGGGAGCGCCUGGGAAUACCGGGUACUGUAGGCC